This 207-nucleotide ribosomal RNA is filed under the name uncultured bacterium. Its description in RNAcentral is "partial 16S ribosomal RNA". It matches the Rfam family "Bacterial small subunit ribosomal RNA", at positions 568 to 774 of the family's 1533-position model. The record is from RNAcentral.
CGCGUAGGCGAUUUGAUAAGUUUCGUGUGAAAUCCCAGAGCUUAACUCUGGGACUGCACGGAAGACUGUUGAAUUUGAGUUCCGGAGAGGAAGGCAGAAUCCCCGGUGUAGCGGUGAAAUGCGUAGAUAUCGGGAGGAACACCAGAGGCGAAGGCGGCGAACUGGACAGUAACUGACACUCAACUGCGAAAGCGUGGGGAGCAAACA